RNAcentral lists this ribosomal RNA (1453 nucleotides) under uncultured organism. RNAcentral describes it as "SSU rRNA". It matches the Rfam family "Bacterial small subunit ribosomal RNA". The record is from RNAcentral.
CAGGAUGAACGCUAGCUACAGGCUUAACACAUGCAAGUCGAGGGGCAGCAUUUUAGUUUGCUUGCAAACUGAAGAUGGCGACCGGCGCACGGGUGAGUAACACGUAUCCAACCUGCCGAUAACUCCGGAGUAGCCUUUCGAAAGAAAGAUUAAUACCGGAUAGCAUACGAAUAUCGCAUGAUAUUUUUAUUAAAGAAUUUCGGUUAUCGAUGGGGAUGCGUUCCAUUAGUUUGUUGGCGGGGUAACGGCCCACCAAGACAACGAUGGAUAGGGGUUCUGAGAGGAAGGUCCCCCACAUUGGAACUGAGACACGGUCCAAACUCCUACGGGAGGCAGCAGUGAGGAAUAUUGGUCAAUGGGCGAGAGCCUGAACCAGCCAAGUAGCGUGAAGGAUGAAGGCUCUAUGGGUCGUAAACUUCUUUUAUAUGGGAAUAAAGUUUUCCACGUGUGGAAUUUUGUAUGUACCAUAUGAAUAAGGAUCGGCUAACUCCGUGCCAGCAGCCGCGGUAAUACGGAGGAUCCGAGCGUUAUCCGGAUUUAUUGGGUUUAAAGGGAGCGUAGGUGGAUUGUUAAGUCAGUUGUGAAAGUUUGCGGCUCAACCGUAAAAUUGCAGUUGAAACUGGCAGUCUUGAGUACAGUAGAGGUGGGCGGAAUUCGUGGUGUAGCGGUGAAAUGCUUAGAUAUCACGAAGAACUCCGAUUGCGAAGGCAGCUCACUAGACUGUCACUGACACUGAUGCUCGAAAGUGUGGGUAUCAAACAGGAUUAGAUACCCUGGUAGUCCACACAGUAAACGAUGAAUACUCGCUGUUUGCGAUAUACAGUAAGCGGCCAAGCGAAAGCAUUAAGUAUUCCACCUGGGGAGUACGCCGGCAACGGUGAAACUCAAAGGAAUUGACGGGGGCCCGCACAAGCGGAGGAACAUGUGGUUUAAUUCGAUGAUACGCGAGGAACCUUACCCGGGCUUAAAUUGCAACAGAAUAUAUUGGAAACAGUAUAGCCGUAAGGCUGUUGUGAAGGUGCUGCAUGGUUGUCGUCAGCUCGUGCCGUGAGGUGUCGGCUUAAGUGCCAUAACGAGCGCAACCCUUAUCUUUAGUUACUAACAGGUGAUGCUGAGGACUCUAGAGAGACUGCCGUCGUAAGAUGUGAGGAAGGUGGGGAUGACGUCAAAUCAGCACGGCCCUUACGUCCGGGGCUACACACGUGUUACAAUGGGGGGUACAGAAGGCGGCUACCUGGUGACAGGAUGCUAAUCCCAAAAACCUCUCUCAGUUCGGAUCGAAGUCUGCAACCCGACUUCGUGAAGCUGGAUUCGCUAGUAAUCGCGCAUCAGCCAUGGCGCGGUGAAUACGUUCCCGGGCCUUGUACACACCGCCCGUCAAGCCAUGAAAGCCGGGGGUACCUGAAGUACGUAACCGCAAGGAGCGUCCUAGGGUAAAACUGGUAAUUGGGGC